AGGGUCAGCUUACUGGAAACAAAAUUCUAGGAAGGUUUUUGCUGUGCCUGAACAACAGUUUUUGGAUAUGAGAUCCAAAAGGAGAAGAUUAAGCCAACGGGAUGAUGAUAGCCAGCUACCAGAGGUCUUUGAGAGAAUUGAAGAGGUGGUGUUGGCAUCCCAAGAACUGCCAGAGUUUGCACAGGCUAUAAGAGGCUUAUCUGAGCUGACGUUGACACGCAGCCGUUUUAUUACAUUCACGGACGAAGAACGUGCAUCUAUUAAAAAUGCAUUUGCUUGCAUAAUUUGCAAAGGGCCCAUGAAUGAUCCUGUUUUUGCAGUUUGCUGUCAGAGUCUCAUUGCAUGCAAAGUGUGCUUUGACCAGUGGCAGAGAAAUGCCAACACCUGUGUGAUAUGCAGAGGAGACAACUCAAG
This is a long non-coding RNA of Carassius carassius (crucian carp), 414 nucleotides long. RefSeq lists it as uncharacterized. The record is from RefSeq and is a predicted model, not a curated record. The transcript has 3 exons. NCBI's taxonomy places the organism in Eukaryota, Metazoa, Chordata, Actinopteri, Cypriniformes, Cyprinidae.